CUCUAAUAGCGUAUAUUAAAGUUGUUGCAGUUAAAAAGCUCGUAGUUGGACUUUGGAGCCGGUUGAUCUGGCGGCUUCGGUCGCACGGCUCAACCGGCUUCUUUCUUCUGGGGACCGCGUCGCAUUUCACUAUGCGGCGUCGGGACGCAGAUCGUUUACUGUGAAAAAAUUAGAGUGUUCAAGCAGGCCAUCGCUUGAAU
RNAcentral lists this ribosomal RNA (200 nucleotides) under uncultured eukaryote. Its description in RNAcentral is "partial 18S ribosomal RNA". It matches the Rfam family "Eukaryotic small subunit ribosomal RNA", at positions 589 to 800 of the family's 1831-position model. The record is from RNAcentral.